GACGAACGCUGGCGGCGGGCCUAACACAUGCAAGUCGAACGGAAAGGCCCUGCUUUCGUGCGGUGCCCGAGUGUGGAACGGGUGAGUAACAUGUGAGUAACCUGCCCUUGACUUUCGGAUAACUUCACGAAACUCGGGUUAAUACCGGAUCGCAUCUCCUCCUGCAUGGUGGGUGGUGGAUCUUUUCGGCUGUUGUGGUUGGACUCGCGGGUUUCCAGCUUGUUGGUGGGGUAGUGGCAUACCAACGCUUUGACGGGUAGUCGGCCUGUGAGGGUGGCUGGACACAAUGGGACUAAGAUAGGGCCCAGACUCGUACGGGAGGCAGCAGUAGGAAAUAUUGCACAAUGGGCGGAAGCAUGAUGCAGCAACGCCGCGGGCGGGAUGACGGCCUUCGGGUUAAAAACAGCUUUCGCCUGAGACGAAGCGGGAGUGACGGCAAUGGGUAAAGAAGCACCGGCUAACUACGUG
RNAcentral lists this ribosomal RNA (468 nucleotides) under uncultured bacterium. Its description in RNAcentral is "partial 16S ribosomal RNA". It matches the Rfam family "Bacterial small subunit ribosomal RNA", at positions 28 to 507 of the family's 1533-position model. The record is from RNAcentral.